Molecule: ribosomal RNA, 465 nt
Filed under: uncultured bacterium
Lineage: Bacteria
Description: partial 16S ribosomal RNA
Rfam family: Bacterial small subunit ribosomal RNA
Source: RNAcentral
GACGAACGCUGGCGGCGUGCUUAACACAUGCAAGUCGUACGGUAAGGCCCUUUCGGGGGUACACGAGUGGCGAACGGGUGAGUAACACGUGAGUAACCUGCCCACAACUUUGGGAUAACGCUAGGAAACUGGUGCUAAUACUGGAUAUGUGCUCCUGCUGCAUGGUGGGGAUUGGAAAGCUCCGGCGGUUGUGGAUGGACUCGCGGCCUAUCAGCUUGUUGGUGGGGUAGUGGCCUACCAAGGCGGCGACGGGUAGCCGGCCUGAGAGGGUGACCGGCCACAUUGGGACUGAGAUACGGCCCAGACUCCUACGGGAGGCAGCAGUGGGGAAUAUUGCACAAUGGGCGCAAGCCUGAUGCAGCAACGCCGCGUGCGGGAUGACGGCCUUCGGGUUGUAAACCGCUUUCAGCAGGGACGAAGCUUUUUGUGACGGUACCUGCAGAAGAAGCACCGGCUAACUACGUG